UACCUGGUUGCUCCUGCCAAUAGUCA
Molecule: ribosomal RNA, 26 nt
Filed under: Ourisia serpyllifolia
Lineage: Eukaryota; Viridiplantae; Streptophyta; Magnoliopsida; Lamiales; Plantaginaceae
Description: partial 18S ribosomal RNA
Source: RNAcentral